Molecule: long non-coding RNA, 533 nt
Filed under: Homo sapiens (human)
Lineage: Eukaryota; Metazoa; Chordata; Mammalia; Primates; Hominidae
Description: HSALNT0144930
Source: RNAcentral
CGGGGAGCCAUCCCAAGGGCCACAGGCAGGCUGGGCUUCCCGGACUCCUCAGACUCCCUCUCCCCAGGGAGUGACGGGGAGGGACCAGUGCUGUUCUGCCCCCACCCGUGGAGUCAGCCUGCCUCCAAGGAAACCCGAGGAGGGGGCAGAGGCGUCCCUAUGGCAGUAACAAAUGUCCUGAAGGACCCAAAUAGAGGCUGAGAUCUAGAGUGACGGGCUAGGGCAGGUGGUAACCAAGCCAGGAAUGGGACGAGAUGCCAGAACCAGCAGGUCUUUGCAGAUGCAAGUGAAGGAUCUUGAGCUGACAUCAUCCUGGCUUUAGGGUGAGCCUUAAAUCCAAUGAUCGGCGUCCAUAUAAGAAGUGGGAAGACAGAGAGGGAAAGCCAUGUGAAGGUGGAGGCAGGACAAGCCAAGGAAUGCCAGGAGCUGCCAGGAGCCACCAGGAGCAGGAAGAAGUGGGGAGGAUCCUGCCCCAGAGCCUUUGGCGGCAGCGGCCCUGCCGGCACCUGGACAUUUGGCCUCCAGAACUGGAA